GCCUGGCUGGCAUCAUGCAGAGGACCUUCGCCUGGCUGUUGGACCGCGUGCAGCACCUGGGUGCCCCUGUCACCCUUCGCGCCUCUUAUCUGGAGAUCUACAAUGAGCAGGUCUCAGCCGUCGAAGGAACUCAGCCCACACCCUGAACCAGGCCUCCAGCCGAAGCCAUGCCCUGCUCACCCUUUACAUCAGCCGUCAAACUGUCACUGCAUCUCCCUGCUGCUGGACCCACAGCGGAAGCAGAGCCACAUCCCUUUCCGGGACAGCAAGCUCACCAAGUUGCUGGCAGACUCACUGGGAGGGCGCGGGGUCACCCUCAUGGUGGCCUGCGUGUCCCCCUCAGCCCAGUGCCUUCCUGAGACUCUCAGCACCCUGCGAUAUGCAAGCCGAGCUCAGCGGGUCACCACCCGACCACAGGCCCCCAAGUCUCCUGUGGCAAAGCAGCCCCAGCGUUUGGAGACAGAGAUGCUGCAGCUCCAGGAGGAGAACCGUCGCCUGCAGUUCCAGCUGGACCAAAUGGACUGCAAGGGAAAGAAAAGAGCCAGCUGCAGAAUAGCCGAGACCUGGCCCAGAAUGAGCAGCGCAUCCUGGCCCAGCAGGUCCAUGCACUAGAGAGGCGUCUCCUCUCUGCCUGCUACCAUCACCAGCAGGGUCCUGGCCUGACCCCACCGUGUCCCUGCUUGAUGGCCCCAGCUCCCCCUUGCCAUGCACUGCCACCCCUCUACUCCUGCCCCU
RNAcentral lists this long non-coding RNA (735 nucleotides) under Homo sapiens (human). RNAcentral describes it as "non-protein coding lnc-KIF12-1:2". Lineage: Eukaryota; Metazoa; Chordata; Mammalia; Primates; Hominidae. The record is from RNAcentral.